This 1781-nucleotide ribosomal RNA is filed under the name Escherichia coli. Its description in RNAcentral is "partial 23S ribosomal RNA". It matches the Rfam family "Bacterial large subunit ribosomal RNA", at positions 369 to 2136 of the family's 2925-position model. Lineage: Bacteria; Pseudomonadati; Pseudomonadota; Gammaproteobacteria; Enterobacterales; Enterobacteriaceae. The record is from RNAcentral.
AGCCCCGUACACAAAAAUGCACAUGCUGUGAGCUCGAUGAGUAGGGCGGGACACGUGGUAUCCUGUCUGAAUAUGGGGGGACCAUCCUCCAAGGCUAAAUACUCCUGACUGACCGAUAGUGAACCAGUACCGUGAGGGAAAGGCGAAAAGAACCCCGGCGAGGGGAGUGAAAAAGAACCUGAAACCGUGUACGUACAAGCAGUGGGAGCACAGAGCAAUCUGUGUGACUGCGUACCUUUUGUAUAAUGGGUCAGCGACUUAUAUUCUGUAGCAAGGUUAACCGAAUAGGGGAGCCGAAGGGAAACCGAGUCUUAACUGGGCGUUAAGUUGCAGGGUAUAGACCCGAAACCCGGUGAUCUAGCCAUGGGCAGGUUGAAGGUUGGGUAACACUAACUGGAGGACCGAACCGACUAAUGUUGAAAAAUUAGCGGAUGACUUGUGGCUGGGGGUGAAAGGCCAAUCAAACCGGGAGAUAGCUGGUUCUCCCCGAAAGCUAUUUAGGUAGCGCCUCGUGAAUUCAUCUCCGGGGGUAGAGCACUGUUUCGGCAAGGGGGUCAUCCCGACUUACCAACCCGAUGCAAACUGCGAAUACCGGAGAAUGUUAUCACGGGAGACACACGGCGGGUGCUAACGUCCGUCGUGAAGAGGGAAACAACCCAGACCGCCAGCUAAGGUCCCAAAGUCAUGGUUAAGUGGGAAACGAUGUGGGAAGGCCCAGACAGCCAGGAUGUUGGCUUAGAAGCAGCCAUCAUUUAAAGAAAGCGUAAUAGCUCACUGGUCGAGUCGGCCUGCGCGGAAGAUGUAACGGGGCUAAACCAUGCACCGAAGCUGCGGCAGCGACGCUUAUGCGUUGUUGGGUAGGGGAGCGUUCUGUAAGCCUGUGAAGGUGUACUGUGAGGUAUGCUGGAGGUAUCAGAAGUGCGAAUGCUGACAUAAGUAACGAUAAAGCGGGUGAAAAGCCCGCUCGCCGGAAGACCAAGGGUUCCUGUCCAACGUUAAUCGGGGCAGGGUGAGUCGACCCCUAAGGCGAGGCCGAAAGGCGUAGUCGAUGGGAAACAGGUUAAUAUUCCUGUACUUGGUGUUACUGCGAAGGGGGGACGGAGAAGGCUAUGUUGGCCGGGCGACGGUUGUCCCGGUUUAAGCGUGUAGGCUGGUUUUCCAGGCAAAUCCGGAAAAUCAAGGCUGAGGCGUGAUGACGAGGCACUACGGUGCUGAAGCAACAAAUGCCCUGCUUCCAGGAAAAGCCUCUAAGCAUCAGGUAACAUCAAAUCGUACCCCAAACCGACACAGGUGGUCAGGUAGAGAAUACCAAGGCGCUUGAGAGAACUCGGGUGAAGGAACUAGGCAAAAUGGUGCCGUAACUUCGGGAGAAGGCACGCUGAUAUGUAGGUGAAGUCCCUCGCGGAUGGAGCUGAAAUCAGUCGAAGAUACCAGCUGGCUGCAACUGUUUAUUAAAAACACAGCACUGUGCAAACACGAAAGUGGACGUAUACGGUGUGACGCCUGCCCGGUGCCGGAAGGUUAAUUGAUGGGGUCAGCGCAAGCGAAGCUCUUGAUCGAAGCCCCGGUAAACGGCGGCCGUAACUAUAACGGUCCUAAGGUAGCGAAAUUCCUUGUCGGGUAAGUUCCGACCUGCACGAAUGGCGUAAUGAUGGCCAGGCUGUCUCCACCCGAGACUCAGUGAAAUUGAACUCGCUGUGAAGAUGCAGUGUACCCGCGGCAAGACGGAAAGACCCCGUGAACCUUUACUAUAGCUUGACACUGAACAUUGAGCCUUGAUG